GAUGUGUAGGAUAGGUGGGAGGCUUUGAAGUGUGGACGCCAGUCUGCAUGGAGCCGACCUUGAAAUACCACCCUUUAAUGUUUGAUGUUCUAACGUGGACCCGUAAUCCGGGUUGCGGACAGUGUCUGGUGGGUAGUUUGACUGGGGCGGUCUCCUCCUAAAGAGUAACGGAGGAGCACGAAGGUUGGCUAAUCCUGGUCGGACAUCAGGAGGUUAGUGCAAUGGCAUAAGCCAGCUUGACUGCGAGCGUGACGGCGCGAGCAGGUGCGAAAGCAGGUCAUAGUGAUCCGGUGGUUCUGAAUGGAAGGGCCAUCGCUCAACGGAUAAAAGGUACUCCGGGGAUAACAGGCUGAUACCGCCCAAGAGUUCAUAUCGACGGCGGUGUUUGGCACCUCGAUGUCGGCUCAUCACAUCCUGGGGCUGAAGUAGGUCCCAAGGGUAUGGCUGUUCGCCAUUUAAAGUGGUACGCGAGCUGGGUUUAGAACGUCGUGAGACAGUUCGGUCCCUAUCUGCCGUGGGCGCUGGAGAACUGAGGGGGGCUGCUCCUAGUACGAGAGGACCGGAGUGGACGCAUCACUGGUGUUCGGGUUGUCAUGCCAAUGGCACUGCCCGGUAGCUAAAUGCGGAAGAGAUAAGUGCUGAAAGCAUCUAAGCACGAAACUUGCCCCGAG
RNAcentral lists this ribosomal RNA (671 nucleotides) under Salmonella enterica. RNAcentral's name for it is "partial 23S ribosomal RNA". It matches the Rfam family "Bacterial large subunit ribosomal RNA", at positions 2133 to 2803 of the family's 2925-position model. RNAcentral also lists the same sequence under 1 other name. The record is from RNAcentral. Lineage: Bacteria; Pseudomonadati; Pseudomonadota; Gammaproteobacteria; Enterobacterales; Enterobacteriaceae.